This 253-nucleotide ribosomal RNA is filed under the name uncultured Eubacteriales bacterium. RNAcentral's name for it is "uncultured Clostridiales bacterium partial 16S ribosomal RNA". It matches the Rfam family "Bacterial small subunit ribosomal RNA", at positions 524 to 776 of the family's 1533-position model. Lineage: Bacteria; Bacillati; Bacillota; Clostridia; Eubacteriales. The record is from RNAcentral.
UACGUAGGGGGCAAGCGUUAUCCGGAUUUACUGGGUGUAAAGGGAGCGUAGACGGUGAUGCAAGUCUGGAGUGAAAUGCCGGGGCCCAACCCCGGAACUGCUCUGGAAACUGUGAAGCUGGAGUGCAGGAGAGGUAAGCGGAAUUCCUGGUGUAGCGGUGAAAUGCUUAGAUAUCACGAAGAACUCCGAUUGCGAAGGCAGCCUGCUGGACUGUAACUGACGCUGAUGCUCGAAAGCGUGGGGAGCAAACAGG